UCGAGGAUCUUCGGCAAUGAGCGCAAGCUUGACCGAGCGACGCCGCGUGUGCGAUGAAGGCCUUCGGGUUGUAAAGCACUUUAGGGGGGGAGAAAAGCCGAAAGGUGUGAUCUAUCCCCAAAAUAAGCACGGGCUAAGUUCGUGCCAGCAGCCGCGGUAAGACGAACCGUGCGAACGUUGUUCGGAAUCACUGGGCUUAAAGGGAGCGUAGGCGGGCUAUCAAGUCUGGGGUGAAUCCCACGGCUCAACCGUGGAACUGCCUUAGAUACUGACGGCCUCGAGGGAGAUAGGGGCAUGCGGAACUGUAGGUGGAGCGGUGAAAUGCGUUGAUAUCUACAGGAACUCCGGUGGCGAAAGCGGCGUGCUGGAUCUCUUCUGACGCUGAGGCUCGAAAGCGUAGGGGAGCAAACGGGGAUUAGAGUACCCCCGGUAGUCCUAGCCCUAAACGAUGGGUACUAGAUAGUAGGCUGGAUAUGGGCUUACUGUCGAAGCUAAAGUGC
This 500-nucleotide ribosomal RNA is filed under the name uncultured Planctomycetota bacterium. Its description in RNAcentral is "bacterial SSU rRNA". It matches the Rfam family "Bacterial small subunit ribosomal RNA", at positions 355 to 860 of the family's 1533-position model. The record is from RNAcentral. Lineage: Bacteria; Pseudomonadati; Planctomycetota.